RNAcentral lists this ribosomal RNA (497 nucleotides) under uncultured bacterium. RNAcentral's name for it is "partial 16S ribosomal RNA". It matches the Rfam family "Bacterial small subunit ribosomal RNA", at positions 28 to 507 of the family's 1533-position model. The record is from RNAcentral.
GAUGAACGCUGGCGGCGUGCCUAAUACAUGCGAGUCGAGCGAACGGACGAGAAGCUUGCUUUUCUGAUGUUAGCGGCGGACGGGUGAGUAACACGUGGAUAACCUACCUAUAAGACUGGGAUAACCUCGGGAAACCGGAGCUAAUACCGGAUAAUAUUUUGAACCGCAUGGUUCAAAAGUGAAAGACGGUCUUGCUGUCACUUAUAGAUGGAUCCGCGCUGCAUUAGCUAGUUGGUAAGGUAACGGCUUACCAAGGCAACGAUGCAUAGCCGACCUGAGAGGGUGAUCGGCCACACUGGAACUGAGACACGGUCCAGACUCCUACGGGAGGCAGCAGUAGGGAAUCUUCCGCAAUGGGCGAAAGCCUGACGGAGCAACGCCGCGUGAGUGAUGAAGGUCUUCGGAUCGUAAAACUCUGUUAUUAGGGAAGAACAUAUGUGUAAGUAACUGUGCACAUCUUGACGGUACCUAAUCAGAAAGCCACGGCUAACUACGUG